RNAcentral lists this ribosomal RNA (391 nucleotides) under Eucampia sp. RNAcentral describes it as "partial small subunit ribosomal RNA". It matches the Rfam family "Eukaryotic small subunit ribosomal RNA", at positions 582 to 975 of the family's 1831-position model. The record is from RNAcentral. Lineage: Eukaryota; Bacillariophyta; Thalassiosirophyceae; Eucampiales; Eucampiaceae.
AUUCCAGCUCCAAUAGCGUAUAUUAAAGUUGUUGCAGUUAAAAAGCUCGUAGUUGAAUUUCUGGUGGGAGUGUACAGUCCGACACUGAGUGUUGGUUCUUGUGUGUCUCCGGCCAUCCUUGGAGUGAAUCUGUCUGGCAUUUAGUUGUUGGGCAGAGUAUCUCCAUCGUUUACUGUGAGGAAAGGAAAGUGUUCAAAGCAGGCUUACGCCGUUGAAUCUUUUAGCAUGGAAUAAUAAGAUAGGAUCUUGAUACUAUUUUGUUGGUUUGCGUGUCGAGAUAAUGAUUAAAAGGGACGGCUGGGGUUCUUCGUAUUCAAUUGUCAGAGGUGAAAUUCUUGGAUUUAUGGAAGACGAACUGCUGCGAAAGCGUCGAACAAGGACGUUCUCAUUA